GACGAACGCUGGCGGCGUGCUUAACACAUGCAAGUCGAACGGAAAGGCCCUGCUUUUGUGGGGUGCUCGAGUGGCGAACGGGUGAGUAACACGUGAGUAACCUGCCCUUGACUUUGGGAUAACUUCAGGAAACUGGGGCUAAUACCGGAUAGGAGCUCCUGCUGCUUGGUGGGGGUUGGAAAGUUUCGGCGGUUGGGGAUGGACUCGCGGCUUAUCAGCUUGUUGGUGGGGUAGUGGCUUACCAAGGCUUUGACGGGUAGCCGGCCUGAGAGGGUGACCGGCCACAUUGGGACUGAGAUACGGCCCAGACUCCUACGGGAGGCAGCAGUGGGGAAUAUUGCACAAUGGGCGGAAGCCUGAUGCAGCAACGCCGCGUGCGGGAUGACGGCCUUCGGGUUGUAAACCGCUUUCGCCUGUGACGAAGCGUGAGUGACGGUAAUGGGUAAAGAAGCACCGGCUAACUACGUGCCAGCAGCCGCGGUGAUACGUAGGGUGCGAGCGUUGUCCGGAUUUAUUGGGCGUAAAGGGCUCGUAGGUGGUUGAUCGCGUCGGAAGUGUAAUCUUGGGGCUUAACCCUGAGCGUGCUUUCGAUACGGGUUGACUUGAGGAAGGUAGGGGAGAAUGGAAUUCCUGGUGGAGCGGUGGAAUGCGCAGAUAUCAGGAGGAACACCAGUGGCGAAGGCGGUUCUCUGGGCCUUUCCUGACGCUGAGGAGCGAAAGCGUGGGGAGCGAACAGGCUUAGAUACCCUGGUAGUCCACGCUGUAAACGGUGGGUACUAGGUGUGGGGUCCAUUCCACGGGUUCCGUGCCGUAGCUAACGCUUUAAGUACCCCGCCUGGGGAGUACGGCCGCAAGGCUAAAACUCAAAGGAAUUGACGGGGCCCCGCACAAGCGGCGGAGCAUGCGGAUUAAUUCGAUGCAACGCGUAGAACCUUACCUGGGUUUGACAUGGAUCGGGAGUGCUCAGAGAUGGGUGUGCCUCUUUUGGGGUCGGUUCACAGGUGGUGCAUGGCUGUCGUCAGCUCGUGUCGUGAGAUGUUGGGUUAAGUCCCGCAACGAGCGCAACCCUUGUUCACUGUUGCCAGCACGUUAUGGUGGGGACUCAGUGGAGACCGCCGGGGUCAACUCGGAGGAAGGUGGGGAUGACGUCAAGUCAUCAUGCCCCUUAUGUCCAGGGCUUCACGCAUGCUACAAUGGCUGGUACAGAGAGUGGCGAGCCUGUGAGGGUGAGCGAAUCUCGGAAAGCCGGUCUCAGUUCGGAUUGGGGUCUGCAACUCGACCUCAUGAAGUCGGAGUCGCUAGUAAUCGCAGAUCAGCAACGCUGCGGUGAAUACGUUCCCGGG
RNAcentral lists this ribosomal RNA (1343 nucleotides) under uncultured bacterium. RNAcentral describes it as "16S ribosomal RNA". It matches the Rfam family "Bacterial small subunit ribosomal RNA", at positions 28 to 1378 of the family's 1533-position model. The record is from RNAcentral.